CACAGGUGCUGCAUGGCUGUCGUCAGCUCGUGUCGUGAGAUGUUGGGUUAAGUCCCGCAACGAGCGCAACCCUCACUUUUAGUUGCCAUCAUUUAGUUGGGCACUCUGAAAGAACUGCCAGUGAUAAGCUGGAGGAAGGUGGGGAUGACGUCAAGUCCUCAUGGCCCUUACGUGUUGGGCUACACACGUGCUACAAUGGCAUCUACAAUAGGAAGCAAGAUGGUAACAUUAAGCAAAUCCUAAAAAGAUGCCUCAGUUCGGAUUGCACUCUGCAACUCGAGUGCAUGAAGCUGGAAUUACUAGUAAUCGCGGAUCAGCGCGCCGCGGUGAAUACGUUCCCGGG
RNAcentral lists this ribosomal RNA (343 nucleotides) under uncultured Pelagibacterales bacterium. RNAcentral describes it as "bacterial SSU rRNA". It matches the Rfam family "Bacterial small subunit ribosomal RNA", at positions 1033 to 1378 of the family's 1533-position model. The record is from RNAcentral. Lineage: Bacteria; Pseudomonadati; Pseudomonadota; Alphaproteobacteria; Candidatus Pelagibacterales.